UAUAUUUGUAAUAUGAUUGGA
Molecule: non-coding RNA, 21 nt
Filed under: Caenorhabditis elegans
Lineage: Eukaryota; Metazoa; Nematoda; Chromadorea; Rhabditida; Rhabditidae
Source: RNAcentral